AUUUAAGUAGCUUAAAUUAAAGCGUGGUAUUGAAGCUGCCAAGAAGAUUUUAGAAUCCUUAAAUA
RNAcentral lists this transfer RNA (65 nucleotides) under Macromia manchurica. RNAcentral's name for it is "tRNA-Phe". The record is from RNAcentral. Lineage: Eukaryota; Metazoa; Arthropoda; Insecta; Odonata; Macromiidae.